Molecule: long non-coding RNA, 428 nt
Filed under: Mytilus galloprovincialis (Mediterranean mussel)
Lineage: Eukaryota; Metazoa; Mollusca; Bivalvia; Mytilida; Mytilidae
Source: RNAcentral
GGUGGAUAAGUGCUUACGUUCACUUCAUAUGAACUUAUGUUGUUAGUUGUCUCAUUUUCAAUCAUACAACUUCUCUUUAUUAUUAUACAUUUUUUAUGUGUGUAGUUUAUAUGUUGAUAUUUUUCUUAUAGUUUAUCUUAAUUUGCUUUCUCUUAAAACACAGCAAGUAUAUUUGAAAAGACCAAUCGGUAUUGAUAAAUAUACUGUGGAUUAACAUUUUCAUGGGUAUCAAUGUUCGUGGGAUAAGGAAAACUUGCAUGUUUGUGGAUAUUUAAUUUCGAGGUUUUGUCGAAGUUUGCAUACAAGCCUAUAGGAAAGUUUGUCAUUCGUUGAACAUUUAAUUUCGAUGUUUACAUUUACCCACGAAAACGACAAAAAUUGGUAUCCAACGAACAAUUAUGAAUCAACAGUUUAUGACUCUGGACCAC